UACGUAGGGUGCAAGCGUUGUCCGGAAUUAUUGGGCGUAAAGAGCUCGUAGGCGGUUUGUCGCGUCUGCUGUGAAAACUCGGGGCUUAACCCCGGGCCUGCAGUGGGUACGGGCAGACUAGAGUGUGGUAGGGGAGACUGGAAUUCCUGGUGUAGCGGUGAAAUGCGCAGAUAUCAGGAGGAACACCGGUGGCGAAGGCGGGUCUCUGGGCCGUAACUGACGCUGAGGAGCGAAAGCGUGGGGAGCGAACAGG
RNAcentral lists this ribosomal RNA (253 nucleotides) under uncultured bacterium. RNAcentral describes it as "partial 16S ribosomal RNA". It matches the Rfam family "Bacterial small subunit ribosomal RNA", at positions 524 to 776 of the family's 1533-position model. The record is from RNAcentral.